AGUGAACGCUGGCGGUAGGCCUAACACAUGCAAGUCGAACGGCAGCACAGUAAGAGCUUGCUCUUACGGGUGGCGAGUGGCGGACGGGUGAGGAAUACAUCGGAAUCUACUUUUUCGUGGGGGAUAACGUAGGGAAACUUACGCUAAUACCGCAUACGACCUACGGGUGAAAGCAGGGGAUCUUCGGACCUUGCGCGAUUGAAUGAGCCGAUGUCGGAUUAGCUAGUUGGCGGGGUAAAGGCCCACCAAGGCGACGAUCCGUAGCUGGUCUGAGAGGAUGAUCAGCCACACUGGAACUGAGACACGGUCCAGACUCCUACGGGAGGCAGCAGUGGGGAAUAUUGGGCAAUGGGCGCAAGCCUGACCCAGCCAUACCGCGUGGGUGAAGAAGGCCUUCGGGUUGUAAAGCCCUUUUGUUGGGAAAGAAAAGCAGCAGGUUAAUACGCCGCUGUUCUGACGGUACCCAAAGAAUAAGCACCGGCUAACUUCGUG
RNAcentral lists this ribosomal RNA (492 nucleotides) under uncultured bacterium. RNAcentral's name for it is "partial 16S ribosomal RNA". It matches the Rfam family "Bacterial small subunit ribosomal RNA", at positions 29 to 507 of the family's 1533-position model. The record is from RNAcentral.